ACGGCUCAGUAACACGUCGGUAACCUACCCUCGGGAGGGGGAUAACCCCGGGAAACUGGGGCUAAUUCCCCAUAGGCCUGAGGUACUGGAAGGUCCUCAGGCCGAAAGGGACUUAUGUCCGCCCGAGGAUGGGCCGGCGGCCGAUUAGGUAGUUGGUGGGGUAAUGGCCCACCAAGCCAAAGAUCGGUACGGGCUGUGAGAGCAGGAGCCCGGAGAUGGACACUGAGACACGGGUCCAGGCCCUACGGGGCGCAGCAGGCGCGAAACCUCCGCAAUGCGGGAAACCGCGACGGGGGGACCCCGAGCGCCGUGGCAACGCCACGGCUUUUCCGGAGUGUAAAAAGCUCCGGGAAUAAGGGCUGGGCAAGGCCGGUGGCAGCCGCCGCGGUAAUACCGGCGGCCCGAGUGGUGGCCGCUAUUAUUGGGCCUAAAGCGUCCGUAGCCGGGCCCGUAAGUCCCUGGCGAAAUCCCACGGCUCAACCGUGGGGCUUGCUGGGGAUACUGCGGGUCUUGGGACCGGGAGAGGCGGGGGGUACCCCUGGGGUAGGGGUGAAAUCCUAUAAUCCCAGGGGGACCGCCAGUGGCGAAGGCGCCCCGCUGGAACGGGUCCGACGGUGAGGGACGAAGGCCAGGGGAGCAAACCGGAUUAGAUACCCGGGUAGUCCUGGCUGUAAAGGAUGCGGGCUAGGUGUCGGGUGAGCCUCGAGCUCGCCCGGUGCCGUAGGGAAGCCGUUAAGCCCGCCGCCUGGGGAGUACGGCCGCAAGGCUGAAACUUAAAGGAAUUGGCGGGGGAG
This 794-nucleotide ribosomal RNA is filed under the name uncultured Thermococcus sp. Its description in RNAcentral is "bacterial SSU rRNA". It matches the Rfam family "Archaeal small subunit ribosomal RNA", at positions 85 to 876 of the family's 1478-position model. The record is from RNAcentral. Lineage: Archaea; Methanobacteriati; Methanobacteriota; Thermococci; Thermococcales; Thermococcaceae.